GGACCCGCACAAGUAGUGGAGCAUGUGGUUUAAUUCGAAGAUACGCGCAGAACCUUACCAACACUUGACAUGUUCGUCGCGACUUUGAGAGAUCAAAGUUUUCGGUUCGGCCGGACGAAACACAGGUGCUGCAUGGCUGUCGUCAGCUCGUGUCGUGAGAUGUUGGGUUAAGUCCCGCAACGAGCGCAACCCUCACUUUUAGUUGCCAUCAUUAAGUUGGGCACUCUGAAAGAACUGCCAGUGAUAAGCUGGAGGAAGGUGGGGAUGACGUCAAGUCCUCAUGGCCCUUACGUGUUGGGCUACACACGUGCUACAAUGGUAUCUACAACAGGAAGCAAGACUGCAAGGUUAAGCAAAUCCUAAAAGAUACCUCAGUUCGGAUUGCACUCUGCAACUCGAGUGCAUGAAGCUGGAAUUACUAGUAAUCGU
Molecule: ribosomal RNA, 429 nt
Filed under: uncultured bacterium
Lineage: Bacteria
Description: bacterial SSU rRNA
Rfam family: Bacterial small subunit ribosomal RNA
Source: RNAcentral